GCCUAAAGCGUCCGUAGCCUGCUUUGUAAGUUUCCGGUUAAAUCCAUUAGCUCAACUAAUGGGCCGCCGGAAAAACUGCAAAGCUAGGGAGUGAGAGAGGUAGACGGUACUCGGUAGGAAGGGGUAAAAUCCUUUGAUCUAUCGAUGACCACCUGUGGCGAAGGCGGUCUACCAGAACACGUUCGACGGUGAGGGAUGAAAGCUGGGGGAGCAAACCGGAUUAGAUACCCGGGUAGUCCCAGCUGUAAACGAUGCAGACUCGGUGAUGCGCUGGCUUGUGGCUAGUGCAGUGCCGCAGGGAAGCCGUUAAGUUUGCCGCCUGGGAAGUACGUACGCAAGUAUGAAACUUAAAGGAAUUGGCGGGGGAGCACCACAAGGGGUGAAGCCUGCGGUUCAAUUGGAGUCAACGCCAGAAAUCUUACCCGAGGAGACAGCAGAAUGAAGGUCAAGCUGGAGACUUUACCAGACAAGCUGAGAAGUGGUGCAUGGCCGUCGCCAGCUCGUGCCGUGAGAUGUCCUGUUAAGUCAGGUAACGAGCGAGAUCCCUGCCUCUAGUUGCCACCAUUACUCUCAGGAGUAGUGGGGCGAAUUAGCGGGACCGCCACAGUUAAUGUGGAGGAAGGAAGGGGCCACGGCAGGUCAGUAUGCCC
This 650-nucleotide ribosomal RNA is filed under the name uncultured archaeon. RNAcentral's name for it is "bacterial SSU rRNA". It matches the Rfam family "Archaeal small subunit ribosomal RNA", at positions 508 to 1156 of the family's 1478-position model. The record is from RNAcentral.